UUUAAGCGAGAUAUCACUUUUUUUUAACAGAAAGCGGGAUAUCAAUUAUCUAGGGUUCUGAUUCUGAACUUUGCUCCCCAAAAUCUCCAAUUCUCUAGAAGCAUCACCUCUGCUCCACCAUCACUAAUCGAAUCUUCCUCCACUCCACCAUCACUAAUUGAAUCAUCCUCCCAUCCAAAACCCUAAUCGAUCCAAAACCCUAAUUGCUCCCAAAAGUGGCGACCGUAGGACUUUAGCAAUGAGCUAAUGAUUUCUUAGGGUUCAGUUUGUUGUGAACUAUGACCAACAUUUUGUUAUUCUUAAUCGAAGGUAUGUGUUGGCAUUUUAGCCAGCUGUGGGAUCAGGGUGUUACAAACAGCAUUGAAGCAGUGGCAUGCAGUAAUGAUUCUCUUGGGGUUGAGAAAGUGCAAGGAUAGUCAUCAUGGCUUACCAAGGAGGUAACCUAAAGUCUACAUCUAUAAAUGGAGUGAAGAUGUAUACAGUAGUGGCUCAACACCGCUCGCUGGCCACUUAGCUCCCGCCGAAGAAGCUUAGAGCUCUUCGUAAGGAUAAAACCAAGAGCCGGGGGCAAUAAUAGAAGAAAAGUAUACUGUUUUGGCAAUGUUAGUGACACUCGUGUACAUAGCAGAGAGAAGACCUUGAGAUUGAAAAGUUGAACUUAGUUAUAAGGAGCUCAUUAAGGAAACAGAUGAAGAAAAAGAAAGGUUAAAUGGGAUUAUUGCGGGGUUGUUGGCUGGAAAAGAAAACGAUAAGGUGGAGAAAGAUACUAUGCUUGAUAGGAUGUCACAAAUUGAAGCUAUGUUAACAAGUACAAUUCGAAAAUAGGCUACAAACACUUGGUUUUAAAUGUUUCGAUGUUUAUCAUAUUAGGAUAAUUUUAGUUAUCUGAUGUUUUAGCUAGUAUUUCUAUUAGAAUGUUUUAUAUGCUUUUGAUACAGAGAUGUUUUAUUUAAUUUUGGGUUUUCGUGAUCU
Molecule: long non-coding RNA, 972 nt
Filed under: Helianthus annuus (common sunflower)
Lineage: Eukaryota; Viridiplantae; Streptophyta; Magnoliopsida; Asterales; Asteraceae
Source: RNAcentral